AACGAACGCUGGCGGCAUGCCUAACACAUGCAAGUCGAACGAGACCUUCGGGUCUAGUUGCGCACGGGUGCGUAACGCGUGGGAACCUGCCCUUAGGUUCGGAAUAACUCCCCGAAAGGGGUGCUAAUACCGGAUAAUGUCUUCGGACCAAAGAUUUAUCGCCUUUGGAUGGGCCCGCGUUGGAUUAGCUAGUUGGUAGGGUAAAAGCCUACCAAGGCGACGAUCCAUAGCUGGUCUGAGAGGAUGAUCAGCCACACUGGGACUGAGACACGGCCCAGACUCCUACGGGAGGCAGCAGUGGGGAAUAUUGGACAAUGGGCGAAAGCCUGAUCCAGCAAUGCCGCGUGAGUGAUGAAGGCCUUAGGGUUGUAAAGCUCUUUUACCCGGGAUGAUAAUGACAGUACCUGGAGAAUAAGCUCCGGCUAACUCCGUG
RNAcentral lists this ribosomal RNA (433 nucleotides) under uncultured bacterium. Its description in RNAcentral is "partial 16S ribosomal RNA". It matches the Rfam family "Bacterial small subunit ribosomal RNA", at positions 29 to 507 of the family's 1533-position model. The record is from RNAcentral.